AUGGAGGAGUACUCAUACCUGUACCUUGGCUUGGCUCUGGUGUCGCUGCUCGUCGUCGUGCUCGCCGGCCGCAGGCGCACGGCGAAACAUGGCGUCCAAGGACUGCGGCCACCACCAUCUCCGUGGGCGCUCCCAGUGAUCGGCCACCUGCACCACCUCGUGGGCGCUCUACCGCACCAUGCCAUGCGCGGCCUGUCCCGGCGACACGGCUCGGUCAUGCUGCUCCGGCUCGGCGAGGUGCCAACGCUAGUGAUCACCUCCCGCGAGGCGGCAAGCGAGGUGAUGAAGACCCACGAUACGGUGUUCGCCUCUCGCCGGUUGAGACCCACCACAAGCGUGCUAACCAACGGCGGGCGGGAAAUCAUUUUUGCGCCGUACGGGGAGUACUGGCGGCAGCUCCGCAAAAUCGCCGUCACGGAGCUCCUCACUGCGCGGCGCAUACGAUCUUUCCGGUGGAUCCGUGAGGAGGAGGUCGCUGCCACUCUACACGAUGUCGCCGAGGCGGCGGUGAAGGCGCGCCCGAUGGAGAUGCGCGCGCGGCUGUCCACGCUGGUGGCCGAGACCAUGGUGCGUGCGGUGAUGGGUGUCCGGUGCAAGGACAUAGACGUGUUCCUCACUAGUCUGGAGCGCGCCGUGGAGCUGGCGGGGGGGUUCAACUUGGCCGACCUGUGGCCUUCGUCGCGUCUCGCCUGCGCGCUCACCAGCGCCGGGAAAGAGGCCAAGGAAUGCAGAGACGCCGUCUUCGGGAUCCUAGACGGCAUCAUCCAAAAGCACCUGGAGAGGACGGGUGACGGCCAUACCGAGGAUCUGCUGGAUGUGCUGCUGAAAAUUCAGAAGGAGGGGGAUCUCAAGUUCCCGCUGGACAUGGAUGAUAUCAAAUCCUUCGUCUUCGGGCUCUUCGCCGCCGGCAGCGAGUCGGUUUUCACCACGCUGGAGUGGGUGUUCGCGGAGCUGACCAAGAACCCAAGGGUGAUGCAGCGGACGACGGCUGAGGUGCGGCAAGCCUUCGAGGCCAGCGGAACGGCGGUCGAGGGAAGGCUCGGCGAGCUCCCGUACAUGCACCUCGUCAUCCGGGAGACGCUGCGGCUGCACCCAGCGGUGCCGCUGCUGAUUCCACGAGAGAGCCGGGAGAUGUGCCAGGUGCUAGGGUACGACGUGCCACAGGGCACACAGGUUCUGGUCAACGUCUGGGCGAUGGGCCGCGACGAGCGAUAUUGGGACGCGCCCGAGGAGUUCCGGCCGGAGAGGUUCGAGUGCGAGGCGGCGAGGGACUUCAAGGGCCUCGACUUCGAGCUCCUGCCUUUUGGCGCCGGGCGGAGGAUGUGCCCUGGCAUGAACUUCGGCGUCGCCGUCCUGGAGCUCGCCCUAGCCAGUCUGCUGCUCCACUUCGACUGGGAGUGGGAGGAGCCCGGACUGUCCGAUCCCACGCAGUUGGACAUGACCGAGACGUUCGGGCUCACUGCCCGGCGGAAGGCCAACCUCCUGCUACGCCCAGUCCUCCGCGUGCCCGUGCCGGUUCCCGUUCCCGGCAUGCCUUGUCCAGGGGCCGAGCUGCCUUAA
This 1560-nucleotide ribosomal RNA is filed under the name Triticum aestivum (bread wheat). Its description in RNAcentral is "partial small subunit ribosomal RNA". The record is from RNAcentral. Lineage: Eukaryota; Viridiplantae; Streptophyta; Magnoliopsida; Poales; Poaceae.